This 578-nucleotide long non-coding RNA is filed under the name Macaca mulatta (Rhesus monkey). Its description in RNAcentral is "lncRNA (ENSMMUG00000053947.1)". The record is from RNAcentral. Lineage: Eukaryota; Metazoa; Chordata; Mammalia; Primates; Cercopithecidae.
AUGCCAAAGAAAUGGAAAAAUGAGGACAGAAAAGAAUACUACUACCUGGUUUCUGUGCCCAUAGGUCAAGCUGGAAAACAUUUUUCCAUAAAACCACGUGCAAUUUUAUGACACAGGUGAAAGAAUAGCCCAAAUCCACAAGGAAAAUCACAUGGGAGCUUCAAGUUGUAUCAACUAGUACGCAGGAACAGCAAAAGAGAAGGGCUUCUUCCUGUUUGCGUUUGCUGGUGUGUUGCCUUUCCUCUACCCUUUUCAUCUUCAGCUCUUCUAACUGGUAAGUUUAAUCAACUGACGUUUAACAUAUUUGAUGAAAUAUUUGAUCUAAUUUCUAUUGACAUAAUUACUGCUAUUUGAAACUAAAGUUUUCUUUCUGUUUUUUUUAACAUUGAUUUGUUUUCCACCAUUAUUUUCAUUAUCAUGUAUCAUAUUUCUAUUCUUUCAGAGGUUAUCUUGAAACUUUACGCUAGAUCACUACAUACGUAUUUCUCAUGUAAUUCACUACAUUGAUAAUCCUGAUAAAAAAUACAAAACUCUUAGAAAACCAUUUCCCUUUGCAUAUUUAUGUCAUUACUUUCUGA